Molecule: ribosomal RNA, 459 nt
Filed under: uncultured bacterium
Lineage: Bacteria
Description: SSU rRNA
Rfam family: Bacterial small subunit ribosomal RNA
Source: RNAcentral
AGAAUCAACGCUGGCGGCGUGCCUAACACAUGCAAGUCGAACGAGAAAGUGGAGCAAUCCAUGAGUAAAGUGGCGCACGGGUGAGUAACACGUGACUAACCUACCCUUGAGUGGGGAAUAACUUCGGGAAACCGAGGCUAAUACCGCAUAACACCUACGGGUCAAAGGAGCAAUUCGCUUAAGGAGGGGGUCGCGGCAGAUUAGUUAGUUGGUAGGGUAAUGGCCUACCAAGACGGUGAUCUGUAUCCGGCCUGAGAGGGCGCACGGACACACUGGAACUGAAACACGGUCCAGACUCCUACGGGAGGCAGCAGUGGGGAAUUUGCGCAAUGGGGGAAACCCUGACGCAGCAACGCCGCGUGGAGGAUGAAGUCCCUUGGGACGUAAACUCCUUUCGAUCGGGACGAUUAUGACGGUACCGGAAGAAGAAGCCCCGGCUAACUUCGCGCCAGCAGCCGC